RNAcentral lists this transfer RNA (68 nucleotides) under bovine gut metagenome. The stretch from base 6 to 63 matches the Rfam family "tRNA", at positions 8 to 63 of the family's 71-position model. From Rfam's summary of the family: Transfer RNA (tRNA) molecules are approximately 80 nucleotides in length. Their secondary structure includes four short double-helical elements and three loops (D, anti-codon, and T loops). Further hydrogen bonds mediate the characteristic L-shaped molecular structure. tRNAs have two regions of fundamental functional importance: the anti-codon, which is responsible for specific mRNA codon recognition, and the 3' end, to which the tRNAs corresponding amino acid is attached (by aminoacyl-tRNA synthetases). tRNAs cope with the degeneracy of the genetic code in two manners: having more than one tRNA (with a specific anti-codon) for a particular amino acid; and 'wobble' base-pairing, i.e. permitting non-standard base-pairing at the 3rd anti-codon position. The record is from RNAcentral.
CGCUUUAGCUCAGUUGGUAGAGCAGCUCAUUCGUAAUGAGCAGGUCGCGGGUUCGAGUCCCGUUCGCG